RNAcentral lists this ribosomal RNA (490 nucleotides) under uncultured bacterium. RNAcentral describes it as "partial 16S ribosomal RNA". It matches the Rfam family "Bacterial small subunit ribosomal RNA", at positions 30 to 507 of the family's 1533-position model. The record is from RNAcentral.
AUUGAACGCUGGCGGCAGGCCUAACACAUGCAAGUCGAACGGUAACAGGAAGCAGCUUGCUGCUUCGCUGACGAGUGGCGGACGGGUGAGUAAUGUCUGGGAAGCUGCCUGAUGGAGGGGGAUAACUACUGGAAACGGUAGCUAAUACCGCAUAAUGUCGCAAGACCAAAGAGGGGGACCUUCGGGCCUCUUGCCAUCGGAUGUGCCCAGAUGGGAUUAGCUUGUUGGUGGGGUAACGGCUCACCAAGGCGACGAUCCCUAGCUGGUCUGAGAGGAUGACCAGCCACACUGGGACUGAGACACGGUCCAGACUCCUACGGGAGGCAGCAGUGGGGAAUAUUGCACAAUGGGCGCAAGCCUGAUGCAGCCAUGCCGCGUGUAUGGAGAAGGCCUUCGGGUUGUAAAGUACUUUCAGCGGGGAGGAAGGGAGUAAAGUUAAUACCUUUGCUCAUUGACGUUACCCGCAGAAGAAGCACCGGCUAACUCCGUG